RNAcentral lists this long non-coding RNA (1035 nucleotides) under Pogona vitticeps (central bearded dragon). Its description in RNAcentral is "lncRNA (ENSPVIG00000000326.1)". The record is from RNAcentral. Lineage: Eukaryota; Metazoa; Chordata; Lepidosauria; Squamata; Agamidae.
GAGACCCCUCGCUGCCUCCAGAACCCGAAACAGCCACAGAAGACUCCGGGAGAGAUUUCCUUUACUUCAGUAUUGGAUUCCCUGCUCUAGGUAACACAUUAUUCUUUCUAUGUAUGGGUUCCAGAACUUGGAAAAGCUGUUUUGUGGGCUGUGGCGCUGAGAUUCCCUCUGGCAGCAGCGUCUGUCGCUUUUCUAGACUGUUAGUGGGUAUCUCGGGGUAACAAGACAUCCUUCCAAGCAGCCUGAGAUUUUUCCCUCAUGAAUUUUCCAAGCCUCUUGAAGCCUCUGAGACUGGACUCCAUAAGAGGGUUUUUCCAUGGGGAACUCGCACUUUCUCUGGGAAAGUUGCACUGUUUGUAAGCAUUCCGUUGCUGGUCCUCUCCCAGUAAACAGCAACAUUUCUCUUAAGUGUGGCAAGUUAACUGGGUCAAACCUGAGGGCAAGAGAGAUGGAAAUGUAGAGACUUGUACGUCUAUUUAUGAACUUUUAUUUGUCUUCUUUAUUACCAGUCGGAUUCAUCGUAAUAUGCUCCCUGUUGUGGUGCCUCUACAGAAGAAAACGAGGAACGGUUGUGGGUCCCCAUACCAAAGAAAGCAUCCCCAUGGCCCCUGUGACCUCCAGAGAAGAAGGCUCUUCGUUCAGCCCCCUGGACGAUCCAGAGCCCUCUGGGGAAGGGGCUCCCAUGUUACGGAUCCACCAUGCCGCUCCCACCAGUUUGGCGCAUCAUCAAGCCAGUGCAAACGGAGACGGGGACGGCAGUUCUUAGGAGCCCGGCUGAAAAGCAAGGCAGCAGCCUGUGUCAGGAUUGUGAAUCGCACCCCUUCUCUCUUAGGAGCCCGGCUGAAAAUCAAGGCAGCAGCCUGUGUCAGGAUUGUGAAUCGCACCCCUUCUCUUUUGGUGAGAAACCCUGGGGGGAAAAAUAAUUCUGGGAAAUUAACUUCUGCUGCAGCCCUGGCUGGGAUUUCCUGUUUUUCCUGGCCAGGGUUGAGAACGACAACAUGCGAGCCUCUCCGUGUGGACUCCCUUCUCUCCUGA